GCUCGUGGCCGGGGGAACGGGAGGAAGGUGGUCCUGAUUCUUCUCCCUCUGCCACCGCUGCAAAGCUGAUCCUGGCCUCCUGCGGAGACGCCCGAGAGCCUUCCCUCAGUCCUGACGCGACCCCUCCCCAGGUAGCUGGGCCUCGGCCUGGUCUAGCGGGUCGCCUUCCUCCCAAGGAGCAGCCGGCGGAGCUGGGGUGCAGGAAAGCGAGGAGGCGACUCAGGAGGAUGCCGCCGCCGCCGCAGCCGCUGCAGGGCCCGGGGUUCCUGUAGGGCACAAGGCCUCCCUCACCAGGGAAACCAGCCCAGGCCAAGAGGAGCCGCGAGCCGUGGGGAGAGUCAAAAAGAGGAGAAGCGCUAGAUCACCGCCCCUCGCACCCGCCCUUAGCCCGGCCUCGGCCUUACGUCGAGGGAGCCUGACCCUCCUCCCACAGCCACUACCGCCGCCUUUUCCCAGUUGAGAAAACCCCUGAUUGCCGCAAGAUAAAAAUUGGACCCGGCCUUUCCUCCCUCUCCGGGGGCCCCUCAGCCACGCCGCUACAGCACCCAGGACUCCGGAUCCUGCACCAAGGAAAGGAUCCAGCUGGGCAGAAAUUCCCCCAUUUCAAGGCUUGGCCCACCAGGCCUUAGUAUUGCCAGAACAGCCACCAGACGCCUAUGCCUGUUCUUCACUAACGCCAGCAGACCCGCAGCCACGGACACCCGGUGGACCUCAGCAAGGAAGCUUUGAGCAACUGCUGCUUGCUUGGUGCUGCACCCACCUCUGCACCCCCAGCUCCAGUCAGCCAGCGGCCAAAGCAAAAGCUGGAUUCCUCAGUUUGUUCCCUCCGAGGCUGCAAAGCCUCUCUGACUAUUCCUACCAUUAAGAGAAAAAAAGAGAUGAUGGGAAAGAUUUGGUCUGCACACAAAGACAUACCAGGAUAAGAAUGCACAUUUCUGUGCAAUAUGGCUCAGGCACCAAGAAUGUGACAUCACUUCGGUGCAGCCUAGAAAUAGUUAAAAAUAACCCAGUGCUAGAGGACAGAAGUGGCUUCUGCUCCACACACCUUACCGGAUCCCUAAUUUCCUGCCACCUCCCAUGGUUCCAGAACACAAACUGCUUUAACCGCCAGAAGAGGGGUUCUCAGCCACCUGGCUCCCACACACCUACCAGUUCCCCAGGCACUCUGUGUGGUCCAGGGCAGCUGGACACCCCCAAUAGAAAACCCCUACCAAAGAAUGCUCAGGGAUGCCCACUUCUAUCCCUUCUCUGCACCACUGACUGUCCCCACCUUUAUCUUCCACAAGAAGGCGGGGUGUAAAUGUCAAAUAAAGAAAAAUAUAGCUUCCCAGGUCUCCUUGCUUUUGGUGGGGACAGAACAGCUCCAGUGCUGGGGCUG
Callithrix jacchus (white-tufted-ear marmoset) is the source of this 1378-nucleotide non-coding RNA. The record is from RefSeq and is a predicted model, not a curated record. Lineage: Eukaryota; Metazoa; Chordata; Mammalia; Primates; Cebidae.